UAAGGAAUCUUCGGCAAUGGACGAAAGUCUGACCGAGCAACGCCGCGUGAGUGAAGAAGGUUUUCGGAUCGUAAAACUCUGUUGUUAGAGAAGAACAAGGGUGAGAGUAACUGUUCACCCCUUGACGGUAUCUAACCAGAAAGCCACGGCUAACUACGUGCCAG
Molecule: ribosomal RNA, 164 nt
Filed under: uncultured bacterium
Lineage: Bacteria
Description: partial 16S ribosomal RNA
Rfam family: Bacterial small subunit ribosomal RNA
Source: RNAcentral